Long non-coding RNA from Cuculus canorus (common cuckoo), 647 nucleotides. RefSeq lists it as uncharacterized. The record is from RefSeq and is a predicted model, not a curated record. The transcript is spliced from 4 exons. Lineage: Eukaryota; Metazoa; Chordata; Aves; Cuculiformes; Cuculidae.
ACAGUUAAAAAAUAAGGUUUCUCUCAAUGAACACAAUCCAGGCUGACACCCACAUUAGAUCAUAUGAAAGUCUCUUACAUGAAGAAAAGAGUGUGCUGGCAGAUGACCCUCACCAAAUGUACAAGAAGGCUACAACUCCCUGCGGAAGAGAACUUCUUAGGAAAAGUGUGUCAACCUGGGAAUACGGGCCAUGAAAGGUGGAGUGAAGACUGGAGAGGAGAGAGGAUUAGUUUAGAACACAUUUGGAAGGACCACUAAUUUCAUUAAUAUGGACUUUAUCCAGACUGUGUUUUUUUCCACUGCUGCAAAUUCCAUCACUUCCUCUUCUACCACUACUGAACAGGAGACAAGAUGAUCCAUUUGGUAAUCUCAGUAGUUUGUAGGCCUUGAUCUGUGCAGCUUUUUCUUUUCUAGCCCUUAGUUCUGUCCGUGUUUCCUCACAUAUCAUGUUUUCCUGCCCUCUGAUCUUCCUCAGCAUGUUAUUCUGGCUUUUUUCAUGGGUCCACACCUUUACUAAAAUGCAGAACUAGACUCCAGAUAAUGCAGUCCCAAUGCUGACUAUAUCUCUAGAUUAUAAAAAUUAUUUUAUACUGCUUACAAUAUGUAUUUCAGGCUCUUUUUUUUUAUUUUUUUCCACUUUUUCUUCU